UCAAGUGACUAAGUGCAUGUGGCGGAUGCCUUGGCGAUCACAGGCGAAGAAAGACGCGGCAGCCUGCGAAAAGCUGCGGGGAGCUGGCAAACGAGCUUUGAUCCGCAGAUAUCUGAAUGGGGGAACCCACACCGCAAGGUGUAUCCGUGACUGAAUACAUAGGUUACGGAGGCGAACGAGGAGAACUGAAACAUCUAAGUAUCCUCAGGAAAAGAAAUCAACCGAGAUUCCGGCAGUAGCGGCGAGCGAACCCGGAGGAGCCUAGCUUUUGAUAGUACGAACUUUAGCCGAAAGGUUCUGGAAAGGCCUGCUAUAGAGGGUGAUAGCCCCGUAGGCGAAAGAGUUCGUAUGGUACUAAGGAAGCGAGAAGUAGAGCGGGACACGUGGAAUCCUGUUCGAAGAUGGGGGGACCAUCCUCCAAGGCUAAAUACUCGUGAUCGACCGAUAGUGAACCAGUACCGUGAGGGAAAGGCGAAAAGAACCCCGGGAGGGGAGUGAAAUAGAACCUGAAACCGCAUGCAUACAAACAGUAGGAGCCUCACCAGAGGUGACUGCGUACCUUUUGCAUAAUGGGUCAGCGACUUACAUUCUGUGGCGAGCUUAACCGAAUAGGGGAGGCGCAGCGAAAGCGAGUUCGAAAUGAGCGUCCAGUCGCAGGGUGUAGACCCGAAACCAGAUGAGCUAUCCAUGGCCAGGUUGAAGGUGUGGUAACACACACUGGAGGACCGAACCGACUAGUGUUGCAAAAUUAGCGGAUGAGCUGUGGAUAGGGGUGAAAGGCCAAACAAAUCUGGAGAUAGCUGGUUCUCCCCGAAAACUAUUGAGGUAGUGCCUCGUGUGUCGCUCCAGGGGGUAGAGCACUGUUUUGGCUAGGGGGACAUGGAGUCUUACCAAACCAAGGCAAACUCCGAAUACCUGGAAGCGUGAGCACGGGAGACAGAGCACCGGGUGCUAACGUCCGGACUCAAAAGGGAAACAACCCAGACCGCCGGCUAAGGUCCCCAAUAACAGCUAAGUGGAAAACGAAGUGGAAAGGCCGUGACAACCAGGAAGUUGGCUUAGAAGCAGCCAUCCUUCAAAGAAAGCGUAAUAGCUCACUGGUCGAGUCCUUCUGCGCGGAAGAUGUAACGGGGCUAAGCUGUUAACCGAAGCCGCGGAUGCACUGAUUAUUCAGUGCGUGGUAGGGGAGCGUUCUGUAAGUCUGCGAAGGCGGUUCGAGAGGACUGCUGGAGAUAUCAGAAGUGCGAAUGCUGACAUGAGUAACGUUAAAGCAGGUGAAAAGCCUGCUCGCCGUAAGCCCAAGGAUUCCUGCUCUACGUUCAUCGGAGCAGGGUGAGUCGGCUCCUAAGGUCAGGCCGAAAGGCGUAGCCGAUGGGAAUCAGGUUAAUAUUCCUGAACCUGCGUCAGAUGCGAUGGGGGGACGGAGCAUGAAAGAUCAUCCGGGUGUUGGAUGUCCCGGUUGACGAGCGUAGGAGGUCUGCAGGCAAAUCCGCAGACGCAUCUCCAAGGCGAAGACACGUGCCGCCACGGCGGCGAAGUGAUCGGAAGUGCUUCCAAGAAAAGCCUCUAAGCACCAGUCUGGCGCGGACCGUACCGCAAACCGACACUGGUGGGCGAGCUGAAUAUGCUCAGGCGCUUGAGAGAACUCGGGAGAAGGAACUCGGCAAAUUGACACCGUAACUUCGGAAGAAGGUGUGCCGUAGUACCGUGAGAGGAGAGACACCUUGAGCGGGAAUCGGUCUCAGAGAAUAGGUGGCUGCGACUGUUUAUUAAAAACACAGCACUCUGCAAAGUCGAAAGACGACGUAUAGGGUGUGAUGCCUGCCCGGUGCUGGAAGAUUAAUUGAUGGGGUGAGAGCCCUUGAUCGAAGUCCCAGUAAACGGCGGCCGUAACUAUAACGGUCCUAAGGUAGCGAAAUUCCUUGUC
Molecule: ribosomal RNA, 1927 nt
Filed under: human gut metagenome
Description: bacterial LSU rRNA
Rfam family: Bacterial large subunit ribosomal RNA
Source: RNAcentral